AUGCGAUGAGUCGAUUGUGGUUUUACCACAUUUGCGCUGAGGAAGUCAUUAAGGCAGGAAGCCGAUUUUGAUAAAUUGUGUGAACCUUUUUAUCACAUCUUUCGAGAUGCCUCAACCCUCUAUUUUUAAUAGAGGGUUUUU
Molecule: small RNA, 141 nt
Filed under: Streptococcus urinalis 2285-97
Lineage: Bacteria; Bacillati; Bacillota; Bacilli; Lactobacillales; Streptococcaceae
Description: MarS sRNA
Rfam family: MarS sRNA
About the family: In MarS deletion strains expression of mga and several Mga-activated genes is reduced. However, the lack of MarS increased bacterial dissemination and tolerance towards oxidative stress.
Source: Rfam by way of RNAcentral